CUAUACUAGCAGUGCUAAUUACUGUUUCUCUAACACACACAAGAGAUUGAAGACUCGCUGAAUGCGAUUCUACAAUCGAAUGAGAGCCAGGGAGAUUGGAUGGACCACCACAUGUCCACACUCCACGAGUACACGAGACCACAACAACCUUCGGCCACAUCCCCAACCUCUGGAUUACGCGGAGUAGAUAACACCUCAGUUCCCCCACAGAAACCACGAGUACUGUUGAGACUUGAGAGUCGAUCGUACGUUGAUCGACUCUCAAGUCUGAAUAGUUGGAGACGACGACAUAUGCACGAUUUAUUAGCAACCAUCAUGUUCCAAACCAAAACGAUUUGCCAUCCCGGCUAAGAGUGCACAGGGUUUUUGUUGCGGAGUGGUCGGGCGGGACAGCAGACGGUGGGCGUUGGGACGUUGGU
Molecule: long non-coding RNA, 419 nt
Filed under: Setaria viridis
Lineage: Eukaryota; Viridiplantae; Streptophyta; Magnoliopsida; Poales; Poaceae
Description: long non-coding RNA (SVIR_LNC004127)
Source: RNAcentral